RNAcentral lists this ribosomal RNA (454 nucleotides) under uncultured bacterium. RNAcentral describes it as "bacterial SSU rRNA". It matches the Rfam family "Bacterial small subunit ribosomal RNA", at positions 29 to 524 of the family's 1533-position model. The record is from RNAcentral.
AACGAACGCUGGCGGCAGGCCUAACACAUGCAAGUCGAACGCGUGUAGCAAUACACGAGUGGCGCACGGGUGAGUAAUACGUGGGAACCAACCCUGAGGUUCGGAAUAACUGCGGGAAACUGCAGCUAAUACCGGAUGAUCCCCAAGGGGCGAAAGAUUUAUUCGCCUUGGGACGGGCCCACGUCCGAUUAGCUAGUUGGUGAGGUAACGGCUCACCAAGGCGACGAUCGGUAGCUGGCUGAGAGGAUGAUCAGCCACACUGGAACUGAGAUACGGUCCAGACUCCUACGGGAGGCAGCAGUGGGGAAUAUUGGGCAAUGGAGGCAACUCUGACCCAGCCAUGCCGCGUGGGUGACGAAGGUCUUCGGAUUGUAAAGCCCUUUCGGCGGGGGACGAUGAUGACGGUACCCGCAGAAGAAGCCCCGGCUAACUUCGUGCCAGCCGCCGCCGUAAU